GACGAACGCUGGCGGCGUGCUUAACACAUGCAAGUCGAGCGGAAAGGCCCUUCGGGGUACUCGAGCGGCGAACGGGUGAGUAACACGUGAGUAACCUGCCCUAGACUUUGGGAUAACCCUCGGAAACGGGGGCUAAUACCGGAUACUCCUUCUAAAUCGCACUAUUUGGUUGGGAAAGUUUUUCGGUCUGGGAUGGACUCGCGGCCUAUCAGCUUGUUGGUGGGGUAAUGGCCUACCAAGGCGAGGACGGGUAGCCGGCCUGAGAGGGCGACCGGCCACACUGGGACUGAGACACGGCCCAGACUCCUACGGGAGGCAGCAGUGGGGAAUAUUGCACAAUGGGCGGAAGCCUGAUGCAGCGACGCCGCGUGAGGGAUGACGGCCUUCGGGUUGUAAACCUCUUUCAGCAGGGACGAAGCGUAAGUGACGGUACCUGCAGAAGAAGCGCCGGCCAACUACGUG
RNAcentral lists this ribosomal RNA (462 nucleotides) under uncultured bacterium. RNAcentral's name for it is "partial 16S ribosomal RNA". It matches the Rfam family "Bacterial small subunit ribosomal RNA", at positions 28 to 507 of the family's 1533-position model. The record is from RNAcentral.